CGGGAUAGCUCAGCUGGUAAAGCAAAGGACUGAA
RNAcentral lists this transfer RNA (34 nucleotides) under Aquilaria yunnanensis. RNAcentral describes it as "partial tRNA-Phe". Lineage: Eukaryota; Viridiplantae; Streptophyta; Magnoliopsida; Malvales; Thymelaeaceae. The record is from RNAcentral.